GUAGUCUCGCACAGAUGCAUAUCAAUAAGCGGAGGAAAAGAAACUAACAAGGAUUCCCUUAGUAACGGCGAGUGAAGCGGGAAGAGCUCAAAUUUGAAAUCUUGCAAGGUUUACCUUUCACGAAUUGUAGUUUAAAGAAGUGUUUUCUGUUACGAUUUGGUAAUAAGUUCUUUGGAAUAGGACAUCAUAGAGGGUGAGAAUCCCGUAUAUUGACCAUUGGAUUUGUCAGCUGUGUGAUACACUUUCAAAGAGUCGGGAUUGUUUGGGAAUGCAGUCCAAAAUGGGAUGGUAAAUUUCUAUCUAAGGCUAAAUAUUGGCGAGAGACCGAUAGCGAACAAGUACCGUGAGGGAAAGAUGAAAAGAACUUUGAGAAGAGAGUUAAAUAGUACGUGAAAUUGUCAAAAGGGAAGCGUUUAACACCAGUGUUGUUUUCUGAAAAUCAACCUCUGUUAGCUUUAUGCAUGUUUGUUUAGACCUAAUCAGCUAUCUUGCAUGUUCUAUUGUUUGCAGUGGUGCACUUUUCAGUUUACAGGUCAACAUCAGUUCUUUUUUACCGUAAAAAAGUUAGAGAAAGGUAGCUCAUGGCUCCGGUCGUGAGUGUUAUAGUCUUUUUCCUAUGCGGUAGGAGAGACUGAGGUCUGCAGUGUAGGCUAUUUGGCUAGAUACUCAGGUGCUAUGUGAUACCAUUUCAUAAACAACUUGUUGAUUAUGUUUUGUCUAUUGCAUACUCGCUUGUACUAUCAUACCUACGCUUAGGAUGUUGAAGAUGUAGCACAUCAU
Molecule: ribosomal RNA, 780 nt
Filed under: uncultured Neocallimastigales
Lineage: Eukaryota; Fungi; Neocallimastigomycota; Neocallimastigomycetes; Neocallimastigales
Description: partial large subunit ribosomal RNA
Rfam family: Eukaryotic large subunit ribosomal RNA
Source: RNAcentral